RNAcentral lists this ribosomal RNA (253 nucleotides) under uncultured bacterium. RNAcentral's name for it is "partial 16S ribosomal RNA". It matches the Rfam family "Bacterial small subunit ribosomal RNA", at positions 524 to 776 of the family's 1533-position model. The record is from RNAcentral.
UACAGAGGUCCCGAGCGUUGUUCGGAUUCACUGGGCGUAAAGGGUGCGUAGGUGGUGAGGUAAGUCGGAUGUGAAAUCUCCAAGCUCAACUUGGAAAUGGCAUUGGAAACUACCUUGCUGGAGGUUUGGAGGGGGGGCUGGAAUUCUCGGUGUAGCAGUGAAAUGCGUAGAUAUCGGGAGGAACACCAGUGGCGAAGGCGAGUCCCUGGACAAAACCUGACACUGAGGCACGAAAGCUAGGGGAGCAAACAGG